This 276-nucleotide ribosomal RNA is filed under the name uncultured Nitrosomonadales bacterium. Its description in RNAcentral is "partial 16S ribosomal RNA". It matches the Rfam family "Bacterial small subunit ribosomal RNA", at positions 521 to 796 of the family's 1533-position model. The record is from RNAcentral. Lineage: Bacteria; Pseudomonadati; Pseudomonadota; Betaproteobacteria; Nitrosomonadales.
UAAUACGUAGGGUGCAAGCGUUAAUCGGAAUUACUGGGCGUAAAGGGUGCGCAGGCGGUUUUGUAAGUCAGAUGUGAAAUCCCCGGGCUUAACCUGGGAACUGCGUUUGAAACUACAAGACUAGAGUGUGGCAGAGGGGGGUGGAAUUCCAUGUGUAGCAGUGAAAUGCGUAGAGAUAUGGAAGAACAUCGAUGGCGAAGGCAACCCCCUGGGUUAACACUGACGCUCAGGCACGAAAGCGUGGGGAGCAAACAGGAUUAGAUACCCUGGUAGUCC